CCUACGGGGGGCAGCAGUGGGGAAUAUUGCACAAUGGGGGGAACCCUGAUGCAGCAACGCCGCGUGAAGGAAGACGGUUUUCGGAUUGUAAACUUCUAUCAAUAGGGAAGAAGAAAGUGACGGUACCUUAGGAAUAAGCCUCGGCUAACUACGUGCCAGCAGCCGCGGUAAUACGUAGGAGGCAAGCGUUAUCCGGAAUGACUGGGCGGAAAGGGUGCGUAGGUGGUUUGACAAGUUAGUAGCGCAACUCCGGAGCUCAACUUCGGAACUACUACUGAAACUGUUGGACUUGAGUGCAGGAGGGGCAAUCGGAAUUCCUAGUGUAGCGGUGGAAUGCGUAGAUAUUAGGAGGAACACCAGUGGCGAAGGCGGAUUGCUAGACUGUAACUGACACUGAGGCACGAAAGCGUGGGGAGCAAACAGGAUUAGAUACCCUGGUAGUC
Molecule: ribosomal RNA, 443 nt
Filed under: uncultured bacterium
Lineage: Bacteria
Description: partial 16S ribosomal RNA
Rfam family: Bacterial small subunit ribosomal RNA
Source: RNAcentral